UCAGCGGAAAGUAGCUUGCUACUUUGCCGGCGAGCGGCGGACGGGUGAGUAAUGUCUGGGGAUCUGCCUGAUGGAGGGGGAUAACUACUGGAAACGGUAGCUAAUACCGCAUAACCUCGCAAGAGCAAAGUGGGGGACCUUCGGGCCUCACGCCAUCGGAUGAACCCAGAUGGGAUUAGCUAGUAGGUGGGGUAAUGGCUCACCUAGGCGACGAUCCCUAGCUGGUCUGAGAGGAUGACCAGCCACACUGGAACUGAGACACGGUCCAGACUCCUACGGGAGGCAGCAGUGGGGAAUAUUGCACAAUGGGCGCAAGCCUGAUGCAGCCAUGCCGCGUGUGUGAAGAAGGCCUUCGGGUGUAAAGCACUCCUCCAAAAAAACCCU
RNAcentral lists this ribosomal RNA (384 nucleotides) under Yersinia ruckeri. Its description in RNAcentral is "bacterial SSU rRNA". It matches the Rfam family "Bacterial small subunit ribosomal RNA", at positions 63 to 450 of the family's 1533-position model. The record is from RNAcentral. Lineage: Bacteria; Pseudomonadati; Pseudomonadota; Gammaproteobacteria; Enterobacterales; Yersiniaceae.